UACGUAGGUGGCAAGCGUUGUUCGGGGUUAUUGGGCGUAAAGCGCGCGCAGGCGGUCCUUUAAGGCUGAUGUGAAAGCCCACGGCUCAACCGUGGAGGGUCAUUGGAAACUGGAGGACUUGAGUGCAGAAGAGGAAAGUGGAAUUCCAUGUGUAGCGGUGAAAGGCGUAGAGAUGUGGAGGAACACCAGUGGCGAAGGCGACUUUCUGGUCUGUAACUGACGCUGAGGCGCGAAAGCGUGGGGAGCGAACAGG
RNAcentral lists this unclassified non-coding RNA (253 nucleotides) under uncultured Caryophanaceae bacterium. RNAcentral's name for it is "uncultured Planococcaceae bacterium contains 16S-23S intergenic spacer region". It matches the Rfam family "Bacterial small subunit ribosomal RNA", at positions 524 to 776 of the family's 1533-position model. Lineage: Bacteria; Bacillati; Bacillota; Bacilli; Caryophanales; Caryophanaceae. The record is from RNAcentral.